Non-coding RNA from Myodes glareolus (Bank vole), 812 nucleotides. Lineage: Eukaryota; Metazoa; Chordata; Mammalia; Rodentia; Cricetidae. The record is from RefSeq and is a predicted model, not a curated record.
CCUGUCCUUCCAGGGUAUAAAUAAUACAGGCUGGGAACUCUUCAGCACAAGCGGGCAGAAGGGAAGCUCUGCAAAGGACAGCACACACAAGUGGAGGGAGGAUACAGAGGGGAAUAUUGCUGACAGACAAGAGAUGAUGGACCUGACUUCAGCUCUCUCACUGGAAACCUGGGUGCUCCUGGCAAUCAGUUUGAUGCUUCUAUAUGUAUUGGGGACCCAAAACCAUGACAUUUUUAAGAAACAGGGAAUUCCUGGACCCAAACCUCUGCCAUUUUUAAGAACUCUGCUGUAUUGCUACAAGGGUAUAUGGAAAUUCGAUGUUGAGUGUUCUAAAAUGUAUGGGAAAAUAUGGGGGUUGUUUGAUGGUCCAACAUCCCUGUUAACUAUCACAGAUCCAGACAUGAUCAAGAAUGUACUUGUGAAGGAAUCCUAUUGUCUUCACAAACCGACGGGAUAUUGGCCCAGUGGGGAUAAUGAGUAAAAGUCUGACCGCAUCUAAGGAUGAGGGGUGGAAGAGACUUCGAGCCUUGCUAUCUUCCACCUUCACCAGUGGAAAACUCAAAGAGAUGUUUCCCAUCAUUGAAGAGUAUGGAGAUAUUUUGGUAAAAUACUUGAGAAAAGAGGCAGAGAAAGGCAAACCUCUCAACAUGAAAGAAGUGUUUGGGGCCUACAGCAUGGAUGUGAUCAUGAGCACAGCAUUUGAACCGAGUGGAUUUUCUUCAGCUGAUGAUGAACUCACAAAAUAAUUCCAAAGACAAGGAGUCUCAUAAAGGAUUUCUCUGUGUGAUAGCCUGGAUUAUCCCAGAACUCAC